Hemicordylus capensis (graceful crag lizard) is the source of this 425-nucleotide long non-coding RNA. RefSeq lists it as uncharacterized. The record is from RefSeq and is a predicted model, not a curated record. NCBI's taxonomy places the organism in Eukaryota, Metazoa, Chordata, Lepidosauria, Squamata, Cordylidae. The transcript has 2 exons.
UUUUGAUUACCUCAACAAAACAUUUACCUGAAUUUUGUGUGUAUUGUUCCAAGUCCAGCAAUUACCAGGUUUUAAGGAAGACCAGAGCUUUGCUCUCUUUGUACAGCCAUAUAGGGAGCAUGCAGUGCUUAAAUCUCACCCCAGAGGACAGCUUGCUGGCUUCACCCAGAAGACAUGUUAGGCCUCCACAGCACCUUUAGGACCCCAAGAAGAUGACACGCAUUUGUAGCUCAGACUGUGUACUACUACAGGAAGGUGAGAUAGCCAUUGCGAGCCUCCCUUUUCCAAUGUGCAGCUGUUUGGGGAAUGUCAGCCAGCACCAACAAGAUUAUUUCCGCCAUAGCUCCAACAGAGACAGAUGGACUGACCUGCAAAGAUGCUGAAGUCCUUCAGAGAACAGCAAUUAAACCUGAAGCCACAAUGUC